Molecule: ribosomal RNA, 253 nt
Filed under: uncultured bacterium
Lineage: Bacteria
Description: partial 16S ribosomal RNA
Rfam family: Bacterial small subunit ribosomal RNA
Source: RNAcentral
GACAGAGGCCUCAAGCGUUAGGCGGAAUCACUGGGCUUAAAGCGUGUGUAGGCGGAUCGUUAAGUACCUUGUGAAAUUCCACGGCUCACCCGUGGAACUGCUGGGUAUACUGGCGAUCUUGGGCCAACUAGGGGCAGCUGGAACAAGCGGUGGAGCGGUGAAAUGCGUAGAUAUCGCUUGGAACGCCGAAGGUGAAAACAGGCUGCUGGGGUUGUGCCGACGCUGAGACACGAAAGCCAGGGGAGCAAACGGG